AGGAAUUGGCGGGCCUCCGCACAAGCGGUGGUGCAUGUGGUUUAAUUCGAUGAUACGCGAGGAACCUUAGCUGGGCUAGAAUGUCAGUGGACCGUGGGUGAAAGCUCACUUUGUAGCAAUACACCGCUGAUAAGGUGCUGCAUGGCUGUCGUCAGCUCGUGCCGUGAGGUGUUGGGUUAAGUCCCGCAACGAGCGCAACCCGCAUCACUAGUUGCCAUCAGGUAACGCUGGGAACUCUAGUGAAACUGCCGUCGUAAGACGUGAGGAAGGAGGGGAUGAUGUCAAGUCAUUAUGGCCUUUAUGCCCAGGGCUACACACGUGCUACAAUGGAGAGGACAAACGGCUGCAACAUAGUGAUAUGAAGCUAAUCCCAAAAACCUCUUCUCAGUUCAGAUUGAAGUCUGCAACUCGACUUCAUGAAGCUGGAAUCGCUAGUAAUCGUAUAUCAGCAAUGAUACGGUGAAUACGUUCCCGGACCUUGCAGACACCGCCGUCAAGCCAUGAAAGCCGGGUGUACCUAAAGUCGGUAACCGAAAGGAGCCGCCUAGGGUAAAACUGGUAAUUGGGGCUAAGUCGUAACAAGGUAGCCGUAUCGGAAGGUG
RNAcentral lists this ribosomal RNA (602 nucleotides) under uncultured bacterium. RNAcentral's name for it is "bacterial SSU rRNA". It matches the Rfam family "Bacterial small subunit ribosomal RNA", at positions 905 to 1514 of the family's 1533-position model. The record is from RNAcentral.